CUGAAAAUGAUGACGUCCGAAGCCUCGCUGCCCGGCUGUAGCACGUGACUGGUUCAGGAAGUGGUUCGAACUUUGCCGCGAGCUAUGACAGCGAUAUAAACCCCUCAGACUUCAUUCAAAAUUUGGGUGUUUGAUGGAGAGUUGCGGUUAGUGAGAGUUUGGAGGUUGGAGUGAGGAGAGAAAGUCAGGAGAGAAUGGAGCCAGCUAAGAAGAGGAGGAUGUCCUCCCCUGUGUGGGAACAUUUUGAUCUUAUUCCUCCCAACAAGGCACUACAGAGCUUUGCAUGAGAAUAAGGGGAACACCGAUUGUGGAGCAAGACCAGGAGAACAAUCUCAAAUAGAUGAAGACCUGGUUAGCAUGGUGAUUGAGGACUCCCAGCCAUUUAGCAUUGUGGAGGACAAAGGAUUUAAAAGAUCUGUUCAAUCAUUAAAUCCUAGCUAUGUUCUCCCCACUAAAAAGGUCAUAAAAGCAGUGAAAAUCUAGUUUUUACAGAAUAAAAUGUGAAC
Oreochromis niloticus (Nile tilapia) is the source of this 506-nucleotide long non-coding RNA. RefSeq lists it as uncharacterized. NCBI's taxonomy places the organism in Eukaryota, Metazoa, Chordata, Actinopteri, Cichliformes, Cichlidae. The record is from RefSeq and is a predicted model, not a curated record. The transcript is spliced from 3 exons.